AUGGAAACGAAAAAAAAAAAUUCAUUAAAACAGUAUGAUGAUAUCAGUUUAGAACUUCUUAUAUGCAAUGUGUUGUUGUCUAAUAUUUCUGAUUAUACAAGAGGGGAAGAAGAUAAACAUGAACAAAUAAAAACUCUUAAUAAAAUAAAUAAUAUUUUUUGUUCGUAUAGUUUUGAAUUAUGCGAUAAUGAAACUGAAAAUAACUUAUAUAAAAAAUUUUAUAAUAUAUGUUAUUUUAAGGAAUAUGAGUUAUUAAGUCAAGUGUUAAAUCAAUUAAUAGACUUGAAUGAAAAUUUUAGUAUAAUUAUAUCUUACAAUGCUUUUGAAUUUUUUCACAUAUGGAAGUUAUUUUACCCAGGUUUUAAAAAAAAAAAAAAAAACGCAUUAUAAAAUGAUAAAAAAAUAUCACCGUAUGCGUAUAUAUGUAUACAAUUUAUAUGUGUUGUAGCACUUUUAUGUACUCAUUUAUUAUUUUCUUUCAAUACAUACACACACAUAUACAUACAUGCAACUGUGUAUAUGUAUACAUAUUUAUCAUGCAUUUUUUCGUAUUAAAUUUAUUAAAUGAAUAUAUUUUCAAUAUUUUUUGCAUAACUUGUAGUUAUAUCGAGCUCAAAUCAUGAUGAGGGCGUGUUUAAUUUAAUUAUGAAUUAUUUGAAACAGUUUUUAAGUUAUAUAAAAAUAAAUAACAUAACAACAAACCA
This is a long non-coding RNA of Piliocolobus tephrosceles (Ugandan red Colobus), 704 nucleotides long. Lineage: Eukaryota; Metazoa; Chordata; Mammalia; Primates; Cercopithecidae. The record is from Ensembl.